GGAUCUGUAGCUCAGUCGGUAGAGCGCCACGUUUACACCGUGGAUGUCGUCGGUUCGAGCCCGGCCGGAUCCA
RNAcentral lists this transfer RNA (73 nucleotides) under Microbacteriaceae bacterium. RNAcentral describes it as "tRNA-Val". It matches the Rfam family "tRNA". From Rfam's summary of the family: Transfer RNA (tRNA) molecules are approximately 80 nucleotides in length. Lineage: Bacteria; Bacillati; Actinomycetota; Actinomycetes; Micrococcales; Microbacteriaceae. The record is from RNAcentral.